Homo sapiens (human) is the source of this 1776-nucleotide long non-coding RNA. RefSeq lists it as uncharacterized. The transcript has 3 exons. The record is from RefSeq and is a predicted model, not a curated record. Lineage: Eukaryota; Metazoa; Chordata; Mammalia; Primates; Hominidae.
AGAUCUGCAUGACAAUCCCGUACACUCAACAACAAAAAAACUGGCUUCAGAUCUCAGAGCCAAUAAAAAUCAGGAAAGUUAGUAGAUUCUUCCUGACUCUGGAAUCUUCAUACCCUGAACUCUUAAAGAAACUUUAAUCAGUUACCUACAGUCUACCACCCAUUUAAGAAGAGCAAAGCUACCUCAGCUCCUCCAGAGCCAUUUUAAGAUCCCCCAUCUUCAAAGCCUAACAGAUUAAGCAGCUCUCCAGUGCACAACCUGCGCCCAAGUAAAUGCCAAACAAAGUCCUAAACCCAGCCCAGGCCACUGUCUCUGAAAAAACUCGCCAAGAAAAAAGUAAGAAAUUUACUUUACAGAAGUAAAACCACACCAGGCUUAGUACAAAUACCUUCUAGUACUAGUAGACACCUUCUCCAGAUAAACUAAGGCAUUUGCUACCAAAAAUGAAACCACCAACACAGUAGUUAAGUUUUUACUCAAUGAAAUCAUCCCUCAAUAUAGGCUGUCUGCUGCCAUAAAGUCUGAUAAUAGACUAGCCUUCCCCUCACCUAUAGCUCAGUCAGUCAGUAAGGUGUUAAGCAUUCAACAGAAGCUCCAUUGUGCCUAUCAACCCCAGAGCUCCAGGCAAGUAGAAAGCAUGAACCACACCCUAAAAAACACUCCUACAAAAUUAAUCUUAAAAAAACAGUGUAAAUUAAGUAAGUCUCCUUCCUUUAGCCAUACUUAAAGUAAGGUGCACCCCUUACCCGGAGAAUUUCUCACCUUUUGAAAUCAUGUAUAAGAAGGCGCCGCCUAUCUUGCCUAAGCUAAGAGAUGCCAAAUUAGCAGAAAUAUCACAAACUAAUUUGUUACAGUACCUAUAGUCUCUCCAACAGGUACAAGAUAUCAUCCUGCCACUUGUUCGAGGAGCCCAUCCCAAUCCAAUUCCUGACCAAAGUCCUGCCAUUCUUUCCAGCCAGGAGACCUAGCGUUUGUUAAAAAGUUCCAAAAAGAAAGACUCGCUCCUGCUUAGAAAAGACCUCACACCGUCAUCCUCAGGACACCAGUGGCUCUGAAAAUAGAUGGCAUUCCUAGUUAGAUUCAUCACUCCUGCAUCAAAAAGGCCAACAGAUCCCAGCUAAAAACAUCCUUCUUAGAAAUUCCUAAGGCUCAAUGCUGUGUGGAAGAUUCUGAGAAAGAAAAUAGUUUCCGAUCUUUGGGAUUCCCGAGAUGGUCCAAUCUGCAAAAAGUUCAUUGCCAUUUCCAUCAAGGACACUGAGAACAAGAGUCUUAUCUGGAUUGGAUCCUGGGAAUUGAGAAGCUUCAGCAGGGCUUCCGCUGGGACUAGGAUCAGGGUGUGGACACCCCCAACCUGGACCGUCUGGCCGGGGAGGGCAUCAAGGCCAAUUACCCAUGCAGCCCCCUGUCACAAUGACCUCCCCAUCCCACUUCACUACCAUCCCAGGUAAGCGUCACUCUGCCCAUUUCAUCCGAUGCCCAUCAAAGCCCCAGCGUCCGUCAUUCCCUGUGAUAAGAAGCAAAAGCUCGGUCAGCUCUAGGGAGGCUGAGGCGGCUCCGGGGCCUCACUCUGUUGCCCAGGCUGUAGCUCAGUGGCAUAAUCACAGGUCAGUGGAGCCUCAAACUCCUGGUCUCAAGCAGUCCUCCCUAGCUCAGGAUCCCCAGUAGCUAGGGAUACAGACAAGCUACCAUGCCUAAUUUUCUCAUUUUCUUAGAAAUUGGGGAAGGGGGUGUCUCACUAUGUUGCCUGGGCUGGUUUUGAACUCCUGGCCUCAAGUG